GACGAACGCUGGCGGCGUGCCUAAUACAUGCAAGUCGAGCGGACGGAUGGGAGCUUGCUUCCAGACCGUCCGCGGCGGACGGGUGAGUAACACGUGGGCAACCUCCCUGUAAGGCUGGGAUAACUCCGGGAAACCGGGGCUAAUACCGGAUAACUCUUUCCCUCACAUGAGGGAAAGCUGAAAGAUGGCAUCUCGCUAUCACUCACACAUGGGCCCGCGGCGCAUUAGCGAGUUGGUGCGGUACCGGCUCACCAAGGCGACGAUGCGUAGCCGACCUGCGGGGGGGAUCGGCGACAGUGGGAGUGAGACGCGGCACUGAGACCGAGGGGAGGCAGAAGUAGCGAAGCGUCCGCAAUGGACGAAAGUCUGACGGAGCAGCGCCGCGUGAGUGAUGAAGGUGUGCGGAUCGGAAAACUGUGUUGUGAGGGAAGAACGAGUACCGGAGUAACUGCCGGUACCGUGACGGUACCUGACCAGAAAGCCACGGCUAACUACGUG
Molecule: ribosomal RNA, 498 nt
Filed under: uncultured bacterium
Lineage: Bacteria
Description: partial 16S ribosomal RNA
Rfam family: Bacterial small subunit ribosomal RNA
Source: RNAcentral